This 429-nucleotide ribosomal RNA is filed under the name Bacteroidota bacterium. RNAcentral's name for it is "Bacteroidetes bacterium partial 16S ribosomal RNA". It matches the Rfam family "Bacterial small subunit ribosomal RNA", at positions 355 to 776 of the family's 1533-position model. Lineage: Bacteria; Pseudomonadati; Bacteroidota. The record is from RNAcentral.
UAGGGAAUCUUCGGCAAUGGGGGGAACCCUGACCGAGCAACGCCGCGUGAGUGAAGAAGGUUUUCGGAUCGUAAAGCUCUGUUGUUAAGGAAGAACGAGUGUGAGAAUGGAAAGUUCAUACUGUGACGGUACUUAACCAGAAAGGGACGGCUAACUACGUGCCAGCAGCCGCGGUAAUACGUAGGUCCCGAGCGUUGUCCGGAUUUAUUGGGCGUAAAGCGAGCGCAGGCGGUUAGAAAAGUCUGAAGUGAAAGGCAGUGGCUCAACCAUUGUAGGCUUUGGAAACUGUUUAACUUGAGUGCAGAAGGGGAGAGUGGAAUUCCAUGUGUAGCGGUGAAAUGCGUAGAUAUCAGGAGGAACACCGGUGGCGAAGGCGGGUCUCUGGGCCGUUACUGACGCUGAGGAGCGAAAGCGUGGGGAGCGAACAGG